UGCCCGAUGGUGUAAUUGGCAACACUGGAGUUUCUGGUUCUCUCAUUCCAGGUUCGAGUCCUGGUCGGGCAA
RNAcentral lists this transfer RNA (72 nucleotides) under Planctomycetota bacterium. Its description in RNAcentral is "Planctomycetes bacterium (activated sludge metagenome) tRNA-Gln". It matches the Rfam family "tRNA". From Rfam's summary of the family: Transfer RNA (tRNA) molecules are approximately 80 nucleotides in length. Their secondary structure includes four short double-helical elements and three loops (D, anti-codon, and T loops). The record is from RNAcentral. Lineage: Bacteria; Pseudomonadati; Planctomycetota.